UCGAUCCCCUGCCCGUACCCCGGCGCGGGGGCCGGGAUCAAAAGCUUAGAGAGUUGCAAGAGCUUAGCCGUAGGCUAUUCAAUACUCGUGGUGUUCCUCGUCGUUCCUGCUGCAGAGAAGCGAGCAGAACAUGGCAGAGACAAGUACUAACCAACUGCCGUUGCUGGUCGCCCUGCAGCUUUUCAUAAUCUUUGCCUUGACGGCCUUGACCCAUUGGCCUAUGGUUAGCAGGCGGAAUAAUGAAACUAAUGGUCGGUAUUGUAAGAGUUGUUGGGCAAUGGCAUGAUCAACGUGGCCGACCCAUCCUCUAAACUCGGCCGGGGUAUGGGCGUAUGGCGGUCUCGCCAUUUUUCAUUAAGAGGAAACGAUUUUGGCUAACGACCUAAAAAAACUCUUUGAAUCUUGGCUAACGAGGGGAUAUUUUUUUUAUCAGCUUGAAAUUCGUUUUCACCGAAAAUCGAGUUCAGAAUCUGACGAGUACUACCGGACUAUCCAACCAAAUCAGCUCAAGGCCGAGGCGUCCUCAACAUUGAUUGGAGCGCUACUAACAUGCAUGUGAAGUGUGACAUAUCUACUUAUCUAGAGGCCCGAACGUACAGUUUGUCUAAUCCCAUGAGCAGGGAAAAAAGUAAUCUUCAGACAAGCUUGCAUUAGAGGGAUGCGAAACAGUGGGCCUGAAUGGAAAGCCUCAUUGGCGACGGCAGUGCCGGGAGGCUGGGCUGUCAAAGGGAAUGCCAAACUGUCCGAAACAUGGCGGUGUGGCAUCCGUCUGAACCUACCGGCGGAGCUCAGCCAAAGUUGCAGAGACACGAGACGUUACAAAGGCCUGCCUGCACAGACAGAUAAACUAUGCCGGACCUGACCGGGAGGGCAAACGGCACAUGCAGGAGGCCAGCCUGUUGCAUCCAGCCAACGCCCUGGCUCUAUCUGGAAGUCAGGUCCAGAGCGAGCCAAGAAAGCUACAGCAAUGGCUGCCGGGAAACGGGGUAGAAGAACUGCACACAGGGAUGGUUUGGUUUGCGUCCAACCCGUGAGGCCGUGAGAGGAGAUGGCUGACGUGGAUAGCGCACUCAAUUACUGGAUGUGUCAGCAUAUCAUUUACUGGCCAUGGCCCCAGGUUCCUGUACUUUGGGAAGCAGUUGGCAUCUGAUCUGUACGAGAAGAUUGUACUUUUUUUUCCCCCUUCCUUCUCCCCUCUCUCGUUCAGCUUUUAGAUUGCAGAAUUCAGCUCGUUUCCGGGAAGCAAUGGCGGCGUCUCUGAAAGUCCGGCUUCUCAAAGUCUGUCAA
Molecule: long non-coding RNA, 1287 nt
Organism: Panicum virgatum (switchgrass)
Lineage: Eukaryota; Viridiplantae; Streptophyta; Magnoliopsida; Poales; Poaceae
Exons: 2
Source: RefSeq, a predicted model, not a curated record